CUACUUCCGGGUUAUGGAGGCUUGUUUAGUUCCAAGCACCACUUCGACAGUGAUAGCCACCGUUCAUUUGCACUGCAGGUUGUUGAGUAUAUGUGGAGUAUCCCGAGAGCCCUCACUGAAGACACGAAGACCCUCAUUGUUUCUCCCAUUGUCAAUAAAACAUACUAUUUCAUUCAUCAAA
Molecule: long non-coding RNA, 181 nt
Organism: Acanthochromis polyacanthus (spiny chromis)
Lineage: Eukaryota; Metazoa; Chordata; Actinopteri; Pomacentridae
Exons: 2
Source: RefSeq, a predicted model, not a curated record